UACGGGAGGCAGCAGUGGGGAAUAUUGCACAAUGGGCGCAAGCCUGAUGCAGCCAUGCCGCGUGUAUGAAGAAGGCCUUCGGGUUGUAAAGUACUUUCAGUCGUGAGGAAGGUGUUAAGGUUAAUAACCUUAGCAAUUGACGUUAGCGACAGAAGAAGCACCGGCUAACUCCGUGCCAGCAGCCGCGGUAAUACGGAGGGUGCGAGCGUUAAUCGGAAUUACUGGGCGUAAAGGGCACGCAGGCGGUUAAUUAAGUUGGAUGUGAAAUCCCCGGGCUUAACCUGGGAAUGGCAUUCAAGACUGGUUAGCUAGAGUCUUGUAGAGGGGGUAGAAUUCCAUGUGUAGCGGUGAAAUGCGUAGAGAUGUGGAGGAAUACCGGUGGCGAAGGCGGCCCCUGGACAAAGGCUGACGCUCAUGUGCGAAAGCGUGGGGAGCAAACGAGGGAUUAGAU
Molecule: ribosomal RNA, 451 nt
Filed under: uncultured bacterium
Lineage: Bacteria
Description: bacterial SSU rRNA
Rfam family: Bacterial small subunit ribosomal RNA
Source: RNAcentral